AGGGUCAAGAGCUUCAGCAGAAGUUCUGGCAGGUGAAGAGGUCCAGCCAUGCUGGGGAGGCACUGGGACCUCCAAGGCUGAAAUGAAAACGGGAAAAUCCCCUAGAUGCCAUCAGAGGGACAAGCUGCACCCAGGCCAGGAACCAGAACCGAGCCAGGGCAGGCACAGAGGCACUCUGCUCCACCUGUCUCCAUCUCUCCCCACUCCCACCCAUCUCCUGGGUGGGGUGCUGGACAGGAAUCCAGCUGCAAGGGAACCGGGGGACCAGGCCCAGAAGUCAGCAGCGCCGGUUGGAAGGAGGGGACAGAGGAACAACAGGUGGGCAAGGGAGGAUAAUAGGCCCCAGGGGGCAGGAUAAUCCUCCCAUCCCUCUCUUUGUUGCUGCGUUCCUGUUUUUCUGGUUCUGGGGAGUGAACCCAGGGCCCCCUGCGCGCAGACCAGUGCUCCACCACCCAGCUACGUCCCCAGACUUUCAAAUCUCAUUUUGAGACCGGGCCUCCCUCCCCAGCCACCUUUGAACCGCCAUCCUCCUGCCUCCCCCAAACAAGUGGCUGUGGCUGGGGUUCCAGGGCAGUGCCGCCAUCCCAGGCCCCAAUCCAUUUUGCAGAUGGGCAGAUGGCGGUGCGGAGACCUGCGGGGACUUGCCUGCCGUCAGGGAACUGGGAGAUGGGGUUGGAGGGGAGGCUCGCAGGCCUCCGCGGCCAGGCUUCCCGCACAGCCCACCCCUGUCCCUGGGUGGCAGGUCGGGCAUGGCCCGGAGUCCUGUCCCCAAGGCCGCCCUCACCCCUGGCAAGACUGAAGGCCUCGCCCCUUUUUCCUAGUCCCCCCUUUGGACCUCUC
RNAcentral lists this long non-coding RNA (840 nucleotides) under Marmota monax (woodchuck). The record is from RNAcentral. Lineage: Eukaryota; Metazoa; Chordata; Mammalia; Rodentia; Sciuridae.